This 253-nucleotide ribosomal RNA is filed under the name uncultured bacterium. Its description in RNAcentral is "partial 16S ribosomal RNA". It matches the Rfam family "Bacterial small subunit ribosomal RNA", at positions 524 to 776 of the family's 1533-position model. The record is from RNAcentral.
UACGGAGGGUGCAAGCGUUAAUCGGAAUUACUGGGCGUAAAGCGCGCGUAGGCGGUUUUCUAAGUCGGAUGUGAAAGCCCCGGGCUCAACCUGGGAACUGCAUCCGAUACUGGAAGACUAGAAUGCGGGAGAGGGAGGUAGAAUUCCAUGUGUAGCAGUGAAAUGCGUAGAUAUAUGGAGGAAUACCAGUGGCGAAGGCGGCCUCCUGGCUCGACAUUGACGCUGAGGUGCGAAAGCGUGGGGAGCAAACGGU